AGAAGAAAUUAUCAAUCGCAAAUCAGUAUUGUAUUUAACAGGUCUAAAACAGGGUGAAAUCACUGCUAGAACAACUGCAAAAUCACAAUUAAAACAAGUUUUGUCCUAUUCAAAAAUAGGUAAAGCCGCAAGGGCUAAACUGUAAAACUUGCGAAGAGAUAAGAUUUCUAUCUCUCUUCUCCACUCCCGUGCGGUUACAUACCCCAAAUUCACCAUGGGGAAUUUGUCUAUGCAGCCACUGGGAGGAGCUCGCCACGCCGCUGUGUACCAUGGGAGCAAGCGCCGCGCGUGGUAGGGGCCUCUUCGGGGAAGGGGACCCGGCGGCAGUGACGCCGGUGCGUGAGGGAUCCGGCGACGGGCGCGGCAUGGCCGGGCGAGUCCUGGCGCAGGUCGGUCGCGCGUAAGGGCGGCCAUGCCUGGUGCUGCUGGCCAGGGCGCGGGUGAGGACAACCACGGCCUAGCGCAGGGACCCGGCGAUAGGUGGCCGAGCGGAGCGCGGCCAGGCGGACCGCGCGGGGCGCAUGCCUGGAGCAAUUCCGGCAUCAGUACUGCCUCGUCGCGGGCGUUGCCGCAAGGAAGAUAAUGUUGUUUCCCCACUGCUGCGUGCGUGGAGAAAAAUAAAAAGAAGCAAUCGCUGCAAAAAAAGAUUCAGAGAAUGCUAAAAAGGUACAGGUUCUUGAUGAGAGCGUUUGAUGCUUCCAGAAUUGAAAUCGGAAAGUAGCACCUUGAUUCUUGUAUGUAGCAAUUUGAUCAAGACUUUAAUAAUUUGCCUGGGUUGCUUGUUGACUCCGAUUUCUCUCUUUCUUGAUUUCAUCCAUCGGGCCCACGAAUUUGCGUGUAGGCCGAAAAUUAAGAUCGUCAUAGAUUGGUACGGGACUGCCCGAAUCACUCGUCCAUUCUUCUACGAUGUCGGGCAUUCCCGGAUGGAACUGCUGAAUGAUGUCCUUGCUCCAUGGCCGUGGAUCAUGGUCGUCGAUAACUGCCAUGUCGGCGAUGGCCUAGUCGCUCUCUCGGAGAAACUACAGUGCUGAUAAUGUGUUACAGUAAACGAGAGAGAAGCGACUGGAAUAAACAGUGAAUCUCUUUAUUGAUGACACACAAGGCUAUAUAUACAAAGUGAGGGGACAUGUUGAACAGACGCGACCUUUACAAAGGACGCCACAAAGGCGGUUGUUAAGCAUGGAUUAUUAGGAUUAUAAUUAAUCCUUAACAGUUACCACUGCAGGUGAGGAUAACUCCAGCAUGCCAGCUCACCGGCGACUCCCAGAGGUGCCCAAACGACUUAGCGGCGCUCAGAGCACACAAGGGAAAUAAGUAAGAAGGAUCCAACAUGCUAGUGGUGAGAUUUGGCAGUGAUUUGACCAAUCAUAGAAUCUCUGCCCACCACGUGCUCGACGAAAUGGUUUUGGCAUGAGAAAUUUUUUUGGAGGAGCUGAAACUUGGUGUGGUGGUUUGUCAAUGCAUCAAGAGGCUCCCUAAAUCUUCUUAGAAUUUUUGGAGUGGAAAAACGUUGGGUUUCAUUAAAAUAAUUAAAUCUUUUCCAAACUCCACUCGAACAAAUUUUGAAAUAUUUGGACUAGAGGGCACAAGGUUUUCAGGUAACUAGGUUGAUGCUACUAAGGACUAGUUGGGGUAAUUUAUUUGGGGUCAAAAUCCUAAGGCAACUCUGAGCUCUUUUGAAAACUGCAAUGGACCCAAAAU
RNAcentral lists this long non-coding RNA (1701 nucleotides) under Hordeum vulgare. Its description in RNAcentral is "long non-coding RNA (HVUL_LNC016459)". Lineage: Eukaryota; Viridiplantae; Streptophyta; Magnoliopsida; Poales; Poaceae. The record is from RNAcentral.